CCAUCUGCCAGCCAGAUGCAGAGAAUCCAGCAGCAGAUUCUGAAACCCUAGAAAAUGGCAGAGCCACAAAAUGGAAGAAGCAUAGAUUCCCCGCAUCACUGUGUGGAAAGCUCCUGGUGACCACCCACACUGAAACGACACGAGACCACAUCAGCAUGGAUUUCUGGAAGUCUACUUUGCAGCCAGAUGGGUAGAGCCUGCCUGAGGAUGAAGCCACCAGAAGAAGGAAGAACCAAACAAGUCCUGAGGCUACCAGUUGAACCCCUGGAUCCAGCCAUACCUGAAGCUCUAACUCCUGAAAUAUUAGUUACUAGUACCAAUAAAUUCCAUUUAAUUGUU
Molecule: long non-coding RNA, 339 nt
Organism: Phyllostomus hastatus (greater spear-nosed bat)
Lineage: Eukaryota; Metazoa; Chordata; Mammalia; Chiroptera; Phyllostomidae
Exons: 2
Source: RefSeq, a predicted model, not a curated record